Molecule: ribosomal RNA, 679 nt
Filed under: Bacteroidales bacterium
Lineage: Bacteria; Pseudomonadati; Bacteroidota; Bacteroidia; Bacteroidales
Description: partial 23S ribosomal RNA
Rfam family: Bacterial large subunit ribosomal RNA
Source: RNAcentral
GACGAAGUAAAUAAGAGCGAACGGAGGAUGCCUUGGCUUCCAUAGGCGAAGAAGGACGCGGUAAGCUGCGAAAAUCUGCGGGGAUUGGCAAACACGAAUUGAUCCGCAGGUGUCCGAAUGGGGAAACCCGGCAGGUUGAAGACCUGUCACCUUAAUAGGAGCAUACCCGGGGAACUGAAACAUCUUAGUACCCGGAGGAAGAGAAAGAAAAAUCGAUUUCCCGAGUAGUGGUGAGCGAAAAGGAAAGAGCCCAAACCGGCGUUGUUACGGCAAUGUCGGGGUUGUAGGACCACAGAAUGAAAUAGAGAUUGAACCGGAAGUGUAUGGAAAUGCACAUCGUAGAGGGUGAUAAUCCCGUACGGGCAAGAUCUUUAUGGAAUAGUGCAAUCCUGAGUACGGCGGGACACGAGGAAUCCUGUCGGAAUCUGCGGGGACCAUCCCGUAAGGCUAAAUAUAGAUGGAAGACCGAUAGAGUACCAGUACUGUGAAGGAAAGGUGAAAAGCACCCCGACAAGGGGAGUGAAAUAGAUCCUGAAACCAUACGCCUACAAGCGGUCGGAGCUGGUUUUUCCAGUGACGGCGUGCCUUUUGCAUAAUGAUCCUACGAGUUACCAUCACCGGCGAGGUUAAGUGACACGAGUCACGUCAGCCGCAGUGAAAGCGAGCCUGAAUAGGGCGU